RNAcentral lists this long non-coding RNA (340 nucleotides) under Medicago truncatula (barrel medic). RNAcentral's name for it is "long non-coding RNA (MTRU_LNC006408)". The record is from RNAcentral. Lineage: Eukaryota; Viridiplantae; Streptophyta; Magnoliopsida; Fabales; Fabaceae.
UGGAAUGGAGUGAGAUGGAAUCAUAUUCCAUUGUUUGGAUUUGUAAAAUUUUAAUGGAGUGAAAUGGAAUAUGAUGGAAUCCAUUCCAUCCUAUACCACCACUUCCUCUUAUUUUUCAUUCUAUCCAAUUUGGGAGGUAUGCAAUGGAAUGGACUUUCUUUAUUACAUAAUUACCAUUUCACCCAUGUUUUUUAUUUCAUCACUUUUCAUAUCUUCCUUCCACUUUUUUUUCUUUUUCCGGCCAUUUAUUUUCAUGUGCAUCAACCACUCUCUUCUUCUUCUUCUUUCUCUGUUUAUCUUUCUUCUACAUAACAUAGAGCAAAAUUUCAACGUAACCGAC